Molecule: transfer RNA, 71 nt
Filed under: Camelus bactrianus (Bactrian camel)
Lineage: Eukaryota; Metazoa; Chordata; Mammalia; Artiodactyla; Camelidae
Also listed under: 2 other names
Rfam family: tRNA
About the family: Transfer RNA (tRNA) molecules are approximately 80 nucleotides in length.
Source: Rfam by way of RNAcentral
GGAGUAUAGCUCAGUGGUAGAGCGUGUGCUUAGCAUGCACAAGGUCGUGGGUUCAAUCCUCAGUACCUCCA